CAAGUCGAGCGGCAGCGCGGGGCAACCUGGCGGCGAGCGGCGAACGGGUGAGUAAUGCAUCGGAACAUGUCCAUGUCGUGGGGGAUAGCCCGGCGAAAGCCGGAUUAAUACCGCAUACGCCCGAGAGGGGAAAGUGGGGGACCGCAAGGCCUCACGCGAUUGGGUUGGCCGAUGUCCGAUUAGCUAGUUGGCGGGGUAAUGGCCCACCAAGGCGAUGAUCGGUAGCUGGUCUGAGAGGAUGAUCAGCCACACUGGGACUGAGACACGGCCCAGACUCCUACGGGAGGCAGCAGUGGGGAAUUUUGGACAAUGGGGGCAACCCUGAUCCAGCCAUUCCGCGUGAGUGAAGAAGGCCUUCGGGUUGUAAAGCUCUUUUGUCCGGAACGAAACGGUGAACGUGAAUAUCGUUCGCUACUGACGGUACCGGAAGAAUAAGCACCGGCUAACUACGUGCCAGCAGCCGCGGUAAUACGUAGGGUGCGAGCGUUAAUCGGAAUUACUGGGCGUAAAGCGUGCGCAGGCGGUUUUGUAAGCCAGAUGUGAAAUCCCCGGGCUUAACCUGGGAAUGGCAUUUGGGACUGCAAGGCUGGAGUGUGGCAGAGGAGACUGGAUUUCCUGGUGUAGCAGUGAAAUGCGUAGAUAUCAGGAGGAAUACCGAUGGCGAAGGCAGGUCUCUGGGCUGACACUGACGCUCAUGCACGAAAGCGUGGGGAGCAAACAGGAUUAGAUACCCUGGUAGUCCACGCCCUAAACGAUGUCGACUGGUUGUUGGGGGUUUGACACUCUCAGUAACGAAGCUAACGCGUGAAGUCGACCGCCUGGGGAGUACGGCCGCAAGGUUAAAACUCAAAGGAAUUGACGGGGACCCGC
This 870-nucleotide ribosomal RNA is filed under the name uncultured beta proteobacterium. Its description in RNAcentral is "bacterial SSU rRNA". It matches the Rfam family "Bacterial small subunit ribosomal RNA", at positions 58 to 924 of the family's 1533-position model. The record is from RNAcentral. Lineage: Bacteria; Pseudomonadati; Pseudomonadota; Betaproteobacteria.